Dermacentor albipictus is the source of this 482-nucleotide long non-coding RNA. RefSeq lists it as uncharacterized. The record is from RefSeq and is a predicted model, not a curated record. NCBI's taxonomy places the organism in Eukaryota, Metazoa, Arthropoda, Arachnida, Ixodida, Ixodidae.
AUUUCAGUGUUUCUAUAUAUGCACCCGCAGGGAGCAGAGUUGCGCAUAACUUUUCCGGCGUCGCUCACAUCGCUAUUCGCCGACCGCUAUCACGUGGUGCAAAGUGACGUCAAAUGUUCAACUGAGUCGCUGAAAAGCCAACUUCACGGGUGCGACGCCUACUCAUUUCUGUCAUAUCCAUCGAAAUUGCAAUCAGCCGACCGUCGAGCUGCGUUGGACCGAUCGGCUCCGGUUUGCAGUAUGACAGGGUGCAGCGCACGAAACUGCACAAGUCGCACGGAAGGUGGCAGAGCUUUUUACGCCUUGCCGAGCGGAUGGACGAGAUUGGCCGGCACCGAAGGGACCAGGAUAUGCGAGGCGCAUUCACCUUGUUUAUAGAGUGGCUUCUCCCCUCCAAGGAUCCAAGAACCAGCAGUCACAUUACCUGCUCCCAUCAGCCAUUGCUCAUCCAUUCCCAUGUACGAAAUAAAUUUUAUCCUGAA